AGUGAACGCUGGCGGUAGGCCUAACACAUGCAAGUCGAACGGCAGCACAGUAAGAGCUUGCUCUUACGGGUGGCGAGUGGCGGACGGGUGAGGAGUACAUCGGAAUCUACUUUUUCGUGGGGGAUAACGUAGGGAAACUUACGCUAAUACCGCAUACGGCCUACGGGUGAAAGCAGGGGAUCUUCGGACCUUGCGCGAUUGAAUGAGCCGAUGUCGGAUUAGCUAGUUGGCGGGGUAAAGGCCCACCAAGGCGACGAUCCGUAGCUGGUCUGAGAGGAUGAUCAGCCACACUGGAACUGAGACACGGUCCAGACUCCUACGGGAGGCAGCAGUGGGGAAUAUUGGACAAUGGGCGCAAGCCUGAUCCAGCCAUACCGCGUGGGUGAAGAAGGCCUUCGGGUUGUAAAGCCCUUUUGUUGGGAAAGAAAAGCAGCAGGUUAAUACCCCGCUGUUCUGACGGUACCCAAAGAAUAAGCACCGGCUAACUUCGU
Molecule: ribosomal RNA, 491 nt
Filed under: uncultured bacterium
Lineage: Bacteria
Description: partial 16S ribosomal RNA
Rfam family: Bacterial small subunit ribosomal RNA
Source: RNAcentral